RNAcentral lists this ribosomal RNA (528 nucleotides) under Nigrospora sp. JS3. Its description in RNAcentral is "eukaryotic LSU rRNA". The stretch from base 158 to 311 matches the Rfam family "5.8S ribosomal RNA". The record is from RNAcentral. Lineage: Eukaryota; Fungi; Ascomycota; Sordariomycetes; Amphisphaeriales; Apiosporaceae.
GGGGGGGCUUCGAGUUUCACUCCAACCCAUGUGAACUUAUCUCUUUGUUGCCUCGGCGCAAGCUACCCGGGACCUCGCGCCCCGGGGGGCCCGCCGGCGGACAAACCAAACUCUGUUAUCUUCGUUGAUUAUCUGAGUGUCUUAUUUAAUAAGUCAAAACUUUCAACAACGGAUCUCUUGGUUCUGGCAUCGAUGAAGAACGCAGCGAAAUGCGAUAAGUAAUGUGAAUUGCAGAAUUCAGUGAAUCAUCGAAUCUUUGAACGCACAUUGCGCCCAUUAGUAUUCUAGUGGGCAUGCCUGUUCGAGCGUCAUUUCAACCCCUAAGCACAGCUUAUUGUUGGGACUCUACGGCUUCGUAGUUCCCCAAAGACAUUGGCGGAGUGGCAGCAGUCCUCUGAGCGUAGUAAUUCUUUAUCUCGCUUUUGUUAGGCGCUGCCCCCCCGGCCGUAAAACCCCCAAUUUUUUCUGGUUGACCUCGGAUCAGGUAGGAAUACCCGCUGAACUUAAGCAUAUCAAUAAGCGGAGGAA